UACAGAGGUCCCAAGCGUUGUUCGGAUUCACUGGGCGUAAAGGGUGCGUAGGCGGUCGGGUAAGUCUGACGUGAAAUCUUCAAGCUCAACUUGGAAACUGCGUCCGAUACUAUUCGGCUAGAGGAAUGGAGGGGAGACUGGAAUACUUGGUGUAGCAGUGAAAUGCGUAGAUAUCAAGUGGAACACCAGUGGCGAAGGCGAGUCUCUGGACAAUUGCUGACGCUCAGGCACGAAAGCGUGGGGAGCAAAAGGG
RNAcentral lists this ribosomal RNA (253 nucleotides) under uncultured bacterium. RNAcentral's name for it is "partial 16S ribosomal RNA". It matches the Rfam family "Bacterial small subunit ribosomal RNA", at positions 524 to 776 of the family's 1533-position model. The record is from RNAcentral.